UGUGGGUAGGUAUGAAUGUAUUUCAAGCACAUUACUCUCCCGUGGUUAACAAAUAGACACAGUAAAUAGUAUAUACAUAAAGGUGGGAAAUUGAGAUGGGUCAUUCCUGGUAUAGAAUCUCUGGAAAUCCCAAUCACUAUUAUUAUCAUUCAUCGAGUGAUUUAAUUCUCAUAAUUCCCAAAGAUUACUAUUUUAAUUUCUACUAUUAAAAAGUAUGCUGUACAAAAUACAUUUGCAUGAACAAAAUAGACAAGUUAGUAACAAUGUAUAGACAUUAAUCUUGUAAUUUGCUUUUUACAUUUAAACACUGUACUAAUUAAAAUAUCUGUCAUUCACUACUAAGUUACUCCUGUCACUUUCUAUAUCAGGGAAUGCCAUCCUUCCCAAACCCAAAAGGAUCUGGAAAUUAAUAAUGCAUCCCUGUUCUUUAUCUUUCUGACUGCUAUCUCAACAAUCUCACUUGAGAAGCUAUGUCUUCAGUGUCUCAGUUACUCUUUGCUGCACACCACUUACUACAAAACUUGGUGGAUUAAAACAAUAAUUCCUGUCUGGUUUUGCCUGGGCUCGCUCAUGGGGCUGCAUCAGCUGGAUGAGCAGAGGGGCUGGAAGGUCCAAGGUGACCUUACUCACAUGUCCGAUACUUGGUUCUGGCUGUCACCUGGGAAGCCUCAGGUUACCACUUGGCUUCUCAACCUCCAGUAAGCAGAAGUUUCUUCAUGUGGAGGUCUCAGGGUAGUGUUCCAGGAAAUGCAAAGGCAGAAACUGCAACGCCUCUUAAGUCCUAGCCCCUAGAAUUCACAGAAUGUUACUUUUGGCACAUUUUAUUGGUCAAACAAAUAAAAAGUCAGCCCAGAGUCAAGGUAUAGAUAAAAAGACUCCACUUCCGAAUGAAAAGCCAUAUUGCAAAAGGGCCCAGUACAGAAACUGGAGGAAUUUGUGGCCAUUAAAAAACCUACCACACCUGUUCACAAAGGCCAACUUCUCAGUUCAUAAGGCAGAUGCACAUCUUGUCCCUGGCAUUUGAAAUUGCAAAUGUCUAAUGUCUCUGUGUGUCACACAUUUGAAAAACACUUUGUGCAAUACUAUAAAUACUAAAUAUUCCAUGAAAUUUUCAGGAAUAAAAAAAGAGUAAUCUAGAACUAUGGUAAACAAUUUUUUCCUGAUCACACCAAAAACUUGAUGUCAUGAGCUUCAUGCUUCAUGUUUCAAUUCAAUAUUCUCUGCUGUGUGACAGCAACCUUGAUGUCUUGUAAGAAGGUUCAGUGGUUCAGAAUUCAGCAAGAGCCCACCAUCAGCCUACUGGGCCACCAUUUCUAAACUGAACAGUGCUUGCUUUAAAUACCCUUUUGAACAAGUACUAUACGCCAAGAACUAUGAUAUACGCCUUGGAUGGAAAAAAUAGGUGAGGGCGUGCUGAAAUGGUAGAGAUUUACACUGUGUGCUUUGAAAGAACAGAGGAAAGGAAGCCCAUCCACUCCAAUCU
This 1483-nucleotide long non-coding RNA is filed under the name Equus caballus (horse). Its description in RNAcentral is "lncRNA (ENSECAG00000045801.1)". Lineage: Eukaryota; Metazoa; Chordata; Mammalia; Perissodactyla; Equidae. The record is from RNAcentral.